AUGUCUGUCCUUGUCUGUCAAGUCCUUCCCUCUUGGAUUGCCAUGUGCAUCAGCUUCUUGCACUUCUGCAUCUUCUUGUGCAUCUUGAGCUUCUUGCACUUCUGCAUCUUCUUGUGCAUAUUGAGCUUCUUCCUCUUCAGGAAACCAAUUCAAUUCAAUGUCUUCAUCCUCAUCUUCCGGCAUCAAGUUCAAAUCAAUAGCAUCACCCUGCUGAGCUUGUUCUUCUUCUUGAGCUUCGUCCUCAUCUUCCGGCAUCAAAUUCAAAUCCAUAGCGUCACCCUGCUGAGCUUGUUCUUCUUCUUGAGCUUCGUCCUCAUCUUCCGGCAUCAAAUUCAAAUCCAUAGCGUCACCCUGCUGAGCUUGUUCUUCUUCUUGAGCUUCGUCCUCCUCUUCCGGCAUCAAAUUCAAAGCCCGCUGGGAGCUUGA
Molecule: ribosomal RNA, 426 nt
Filed under: Triticum aestivum (bread wheat)
Lineage: Eukaryota; Viridiplantae; Streptophyta; Magnoliopsida; Poales; Poaceae
Description: partial small subunit ribosomal RNA
Source: RNAcentral